GAUUUAAAAAAUGAAUCUCACAUUCAACGUCGUAAAACUGUCUCGACGUCUCGGGGACGAAAGAGACGAGGACACAACUAACAAUCUGUAUAUUUUUAUAUGUUACAUAUUUUUAUAUCUACAAAUAUAACAUUUACGAACAAUUUUUUCUCCAAAGAUUUAGAAAAUGUAUCUUCAAAAAAUUAAUGUAUUAGUGUUAGUUAAUUAGUGUAUCAAGUUUUGUGUUUUUCAUUAUUGACAAAUUUUAAAGAAAUUGUUUUCUGCUUCUUUUUUUAAAAGCUGAUAUUCAUCAAGAUCCUGGAACAAUAAAUAUUAUGAAGAAUAAACUCUAGGAUCCAUUAUCAUGAUAAUGACUACAAUCAAGCUUUCAGAGGACAGAAAUACAUAGGAACAACGAUCAAAUUGAUUGUACAACGAAACGACUUUCUGGCAGUCCUUACUUCUUCGCCAGCAAAAGCUGGAAGUCCACAGAGAGCAGCACAGACUUUCCUCUUCAUCAGGUUGACGCAGGGAAUUCGGAUGCUCCAGUUGAGGCAUAACUUGAACAUCUUUCUCCAGCCUUUCACAUUCAGAAAGUAAUCGGAGAAUAUACCGAAGCUCUGUCACUUCAGUCUGUUGAGGCAGGAAGUUUUAAAUCACAUACUCCAACAAAACAUGAUACGUACAUAAAAUAAGCUAUGUUAUCUUAUUAUAUAGUUAAAAAUAUCAGUAAAAUUCUGUGUGAGAAGCGAUGCUCACGGACUAGCCGUAAGCAAGCAAAAAAUAAAGUGCAACAGUAGAUAACAUCUUUGUAAAUUUUCACAUUCCCAAAUAAGAUAAAUCAUUCUCACGUGGAUUUAACAACAUUUAUAAACUUGCGAUAAUAAUAUUUUUAUCUUUUAAUUAACAUAGAAUACGCAAAAAUAAGUUUAAUGAUAUGCAAUUCGUGAUGCGGUCGAGAAUACCCUUCGA
Molecule: RNA transcript, 951 nt
Organism: Pogonomyrmex barbatus (red harvester ant)
Lineage: Eukaryota; Metazoa; Arthropoda; Insecta; Hymenoptera; Formicidae
Source: RefSeq, a predicted model, not a curated record